AACAUGACUCAUUCUUAUAGGUGGUGAAUGUUAUAAGGUGUAGGGAAAAAAAUGAUAUUACCUCACUAAAAGUGUUGUCCAAAUCUGGUGCCAGAAGACUCGGUAAGGCCAGAAACGCAAACGUUAGUCAUCCUAAUCAGGCGUAAAGGGUAUGUAGGCAGCUUUAAAUUUUUUUAUUUUUAAUAAUAGCUCUCUUUUUAAUUAAAUAGUAAAAAUAAAAUAAAUUAAAGCUAGAAUCAAAUAGAGGAAAAACCAAAUAAUACUUAGAGUAGGGAUGAUAUCCAUAGAAACUAAGGGGAAUACUAAGGGCGAAAGCUUUUUUUCUACUAAUGAUUGACGCUGAGAAACGAAGGUCUCUUUUUUCUGGAGAAUAGGAAAUAGGAUUAGAUACCCAGAUACCUCUCACUGUCAACGAUGAAUGGUGGUUGCUAGUUUUAAUAAAAACUGGUGACGAUGUUAACACGAUAACCAUUCCGCCUUGCGAGUACGGUUGUUAGUGAGGUAAUAUCAAAAAAAUCCCUACACCUUAUCACAUUCACCACCUAUAACAAUGAGUCAAGUGAUUUCUCUUAGCUUGUUCACUCUUUCCAGCAUUGACAAAAAUUCUGGAAUCUA
This 615-nucleotide ribosomal RNA is filed under the name Lentinula edodes (shiitake mushroom). RNAcentral describes it as "partial small subunit ribosomal RNA". The stretch from base 1 to 478 matches the Rfam family "Bacterial small subunit ribosomal RNA", at positions 401 to 873 of the family's 1533-position model. Lineage: Eukaryota; Fungi; Basidiomycota; Agaricomycetes; Agaricales; Omphalotaceae. The record is from RNAcentral.